Molecule: ribosomal RNA, 701 nt
Filed under: Vibrio sp.
Lineage: Bacteria; Pseudomonadati; Pseudomonadota; Gammaproteobacteria; Vibrionales; Vibrionaceae
Description: bacterial SSU rRNA
Rfam family: Bacterial small subunit ribosomal RNA
Source: RNAcentral
ACGGGAGGCAGCAGUGGGGAAUAUUGCACAAUGGGCGCAAGCCUGAUGCAGCCAUGCCGCGUGUGUGAAGAAGGCCUUCGGGUUGUAAAGCACUUUCAGUCGUGAGGAAGGUAGUGUAGUUAAUAGCUGCAUUACUUGACGUUAGCGACAGAAGAAGCACCGGCUAACUCCGUGCCAGCAGCCGCGGUAAUACGGAGGGUGCGAGCGUUAAUCGGAAUUACUGGGCGUAAAGCGCAUGCAGGUGGUUUGUUAAGUCAGAUGUGAAAGCCCGGGGCUCAACCUCGGAAUAGCAUUUGAAACUGGCAGACUAGAGUACUGUAGAGGGGGGUAGAAUUUCAGGUGUAGCGGUGAAAUGCGUAGAGAUCUGAAGGAAUACCGGUGGCGAAGGCGGCCCCCUGGACAGAUACUGACACUCAGAUGCGAAAGCGUGGGGAGCAAACAGGAUUAGAUACCCUGGUAGUCCACGCCGUAAACGAUGUCUACUUGGAGGUUGUGGCCUUGAGCCGUGGCUUUCGGAGCUAACGCGUUAAGUAGACCGCCUGGGGAGUACGGUCGCAAGAUUAAAACUCAAAUGAAUUGACGGGGGCCCGCACAAGCGGUGGAGCAUGUGGUUUAAUUCGAUGCAACGCGAAGAACCUUACCUACUCUUGACAUCCAGAGAACUUUCCAGAGAUGGAUUGGUGCCUUCGGGAACUCUGAGA